AUUGAACGCUGGCGGCAGGCCUAACACAUGCAAGUCGAACGGUAACAGGAAGCAGCUUGCUGCUUCGCUGACGAGUGGCGGACGGGUGAGUAAUGUCUGGGAAACUGCCUGAUGGAGGGGGAUAACUACUGGAAACGGUAGCUAAUACCGCAUAACGUCGCAAGACCAAAGAGGGGGACCUUAGGGCCUCUUGCCAUCGGAUGUGCCCAGAUGGGAUUAGCUAGCAGGUGGGGUAACGGCUCACCUAGGCGACGAUCCCUAGCUGGUCUGAGAGGAUGACCAGCCACACUGGAACUGAGACACGGUCCAGACUCCUACGGGAGGCAGCAGUGGGGAAUAUUGCACAAUGGGCGCAAGCCUGAUGCAGCCAUGCCGCGUGUAUGAAGAAGGCCUUCGGGUUGUAAAGUACUUUCAGCGGGGAGGAAGGGAGUAAAGUUAAUACCUUUGCUCAUUGACGUUACCCGCAGAAGAAGCACCGGCUAACUCCGUG
This 490-nucleotide ribosomal RNA is filed under the name uncultured bacterium. Its description in RNAcentral is "partial 16S ribosomal RNA". It matches the Rfam family "Bacterial small subunit ribosomal RNA", at positions 30 to 507 of the family's 1533-position model. The record is from RNAcentral.